UCCCUUUUAACUCAGUGGUAGAGUAAUGCCAUGGUAUGGCAUAAGUCAUGAGUUCAAAUCCGAUAAAAGGCU
This is a non-coding RNA of Hordeum vulgare subsp. vulgare (domesticated barley), 72 nucleotides long. The record is from Rfam. NCBI's taxonomy places the organism in Eukaryota, Viridiplantae, Streptophyta, Magnoliopsida, Poales, Poaceae.